Molecule: unclassified non-coding RNA, 851 nt
Filed under: Lucilia cuprina (Australian sheep blowfly)
Lineage: Eukaryota; Metazoa; Arthropoda; Insecta; Diptera; Calliphoridae
Description: protein LLP homolog, transcript variant X1
Source: RNAcentral
CAUUUGUUUUUAUUAAACGGUCAACAACACGUGUUUAAAAAAGUGAAAAAUUUUUAAUUUUUAGCAAAAAUCUUUAAAAAAGCAGUUUUAAAAGCAACAAAAUGGGACGUUCAAACAAAUCCCAUAAAAGACGCAAUGAAAACGCUAAAGUAAAAAGAGCACGCUAUGCCGUUAAAGAAUUGGCUAUGCUCAAAAAAACUUUAGGCAUCAUGGAUACCGAAGAAGGUGAUACUAUGGAACAAUUAGCAGAUGUGGCUACAGUUAAAACGGCAAAGGAAAUAAAACAUGAGAAAAAAUCCAAAGAAGAAAACGAACUUGCAUUCGAAUUGCAAGAAGAACGUGAACAAGGUGAAAAAAUCACCAUUGUUAAUGAGAAAACCGGUAAAACUCAUGUUUAUAACACUAAAACAUUAAAAGAUCAACAUGGUUCCUAUCCAUCCUGGUAUAAACCACGUAAAACUGCCAAACGUAUGCGCAAGAAGGAUCAUGCCCGUAAACUUAAAUUCAAGCAACACUGGACGGUUACCAAUGUGCCUUUGUAGUGUGGCCAUAUCCGCAAUUCAUUUGUUUAAAGUUUAAGCUGUGAAUACAGUAUACCUACCAUCAAUCUACAAUCAAUAACAUAUUUCAUAUUCAUCACAAUCAAGUCAUUUAAAAUUCAUAUUAUGGUAAGUAAGUUUCACUAUUUUCAUAACAAUUCAUGCAUCUAAUUAUAUUGACAUUUAAACAAACAACCCAUAUCAUUGUUACAAUUGUAAUUUUGUCCUCAAUAAUAAUGAGAAAACCGAACAUAAAAGAAACAUUAAUAAUAAAUUCUUUAUAAGAAAACAAAGACAUUUUAUUCAAUGCUU